This 239-nucleotide ribosomal RNA is filed under the name uncultured bacterium. Its description in RNAcentral is "partial 16S ribosomal RNA". It matches the Rfam family "Bacterial small subunit ribosomal RNA", at positions 521 to 759 of the family's 1533-position model. The record is from RNAcentral.
UAAUACGAACCGUCCAAACGUUAUUCGGAAUUAUUGGGCUUAAAGGGUAUGUAGGCGGCGCUGUUAGUCGGGUGUGAAAUCCCUCGGCUCAACCGAGGAAUUGCGCCCGAUACUGCAGUGCUUGAGGGAGACAGAGGUAAGCGGAACUGAUGGUGGAGCGGUGAAAUGCGUUGAUAUCAUCAGGAACACCGGUGGCGAAAGCGGCUUACUGGGUCUCUUCUGACGCUGAGAUACGAAAG